Molecule: long non-coding RNA, 523 nt
Filed under: Neodiprion pinetum (white pine sawfly)
Lineage: Eukaryota; Metazoa; Arthropoda; Insecta; Hymenoptera; Diprionidae
Description: uncharacterized LOC124221004, transcript variant X2
Source: RNAcentral
CAGCUAAACGAAAUCUUCAGUUUGCAAACAACCGCGCAGUAGAGCGGACGGAUGAGAAUCGCGCUCCGCAAAUUUCGAGUACCGGGUUCUCAACCUCCUGGAUCCUGCGCUCGGGGUCCGGUACCUGGUGAAAAUCGACUUUCAGGACAUGCGCUUCGUGGUUCCUGCGCUCCAGGUCCGCUAUCUAGUGCAGCUCGACUUCUAGGACAAGAGAUCCGGGGUUCCUGUUUCAUGUUAACAAUGAAUUAUUUCAAUUCAUUAUUAGCGCAAGCCCAAAUUCAGUAGCUUGUUCGCGGUAUAACCCGAGAUCGUUAUCGGUGGUUGUUGGAGGUGGUUGGCGGUGAUUGGGGGUGUUCGGAGGUGGACGAGGAGGAGGACGAGGAAGACGAAGAGAAUAAGGUGGACGAGGAUUUGUGCACGGUAUAACCCGAGGUAGUUCGCAGUGGUUGCGGAUGAUCGAGGUGGGCGAGGAGGAGGACGAGGAUGACGAGGACUUGUACACUUUCUGUGCCCCACCUAGUGA